CCCUUAGAUGUUCUGGGCUGCACGCGCGCUACACUGACACACUCAACAAGCUUAUAACCUUGUCCGAGAGGUCUGGGAAAUCUUUGAAUAUGUGUCGUGAUGGGGAUAGAUCGUUGCAAUUCUCGAUCUUCAACGAGGAAUUCCUAGUAAACGCAGUUCAUCAGACUGCAUUGAUUACGUCCCUGCCCUUUGUACACACCGCCCGUCGCACCUACCGAUUGAAUGGUCCGGUGAGAAUUUUGGAUUGAUGUUUCGUCGGGUUAACGCCAGACUUUACGUUGAGAAGUUAUUCAAACCUUACCAUUUAGAGGAAGGUGAAGUCGUAACA
This 328-nucleotide ribosomal RNA is filed under the name uncultured eukaryote. RNAcentral's name for it is "partial 18S ribosomal RNA". It matches the Rfam family "Eukaryotic small subunit ribosomal RNA", at positions 1470 to 1796 of the family's 1831-position model. The record is from RNAcentral.